CAGUAGCCGCGGUAAUACGUAGGGGGCAAGCGUUACUCGGAAUUACUGGGCGUAAAGCGUGCGUAGGUGGUGGUUUAAGUCCGUUGUGAAAGCCCUGGGCUCAACCUGGGAAUUGCAGUGGAUACUGGAUCACUUGAGUGUGGUAGAGGAUAGUGGAAUUUCCGGUGUAGCAGUGAAAUGCGUAGAGAUCGGAAGGAACAUCUGUGGCGAAGGCGACUAUCUGGGCCAACACUGACACUGAGGCACGAAAGCGUGGGGAGCAAACAGGAUUAGAUACCCGAGUAGUCCCUGUCUCUUAUAC
This 301-nucleotide ribosomal RNA is filed under the name uncultured bacterium. RNAcentral describes it as "partial 16S ribosomal RNA". It matches the Rfam family "Bacterial small subunit ribosomal RNA", at positions 509 to 807 of the family's 1533-position model. The record is from RNAcentral.